AUGUCAAUGUGCACGCCAAUGA
Molecule: small nuclear RNA, 22 nt
Filed under: Arabidopsis thaliana (thale cress)
Lineage: Eukaryota; Viridiplantae; Streptophyta; Magnoliopsida; Brassicales; Brassicaceae
Description: snRNA_04339
Source: RNAcentral